GACCAACAGAGCUUGUGUGAGGGGCUAAGAAAGCUCUCCCUAGGGGCAGGCACAGAACUGGCAACUGUGCUGAAGAGAACAAAGGCCAAAGAGGAGGGCACCAGGCUGGAGGAGCCCCGUGGGGCUGCAUCAUGGGGGAAGGGCACGCAGAAACCUGGAGGUGAGGUCCGUGGAGACAAGAGACAGCUGAGAGCAGAAAUAAAAACAGGCUAGGUCCCAAAGGAUGGCAGCUUCAAUCCCGUAAACACCAGACAGGCGUGGGGGUUCAGGUGCAGGCCUGGGGGACCAAGGGGAGGGUGGGACCUUUCUAGUAUUCUUCAUCAGUGAUGAUGACGCUGAGCUGAGCGGAAGCACUGUCAACCCUGCUACUAGUCACAGCAGGCAUCAGACAUUCAGCGGAGGGAAACAGCCACCCACCCUCCUAGGUAGUCCCCCACAGUCCAGAUGGUCUCUUCCAGCACCCCCUAAGUCCCGGCCAGCUCCGCCCACAUGGACUCUUGAGGAUUCAUCUGUUUGGAGGGGAACAUCCUUUUCCCAUCCCCAUGGGGCUCAGCAAACAUGGCUGCAGGUGCAGGAGGUAAAGCUCGAGCUGCUGCUGUAACUGCCAGCAAUGCCUGACCUACAUCUCCAUGGUUGGUUGCAUGCAAAGAAAAAUACCAGGGAUUUCCGUUGGCGUUCACCAGAUGCAGCUGCCAAGGGAAGUUUGGGCCUUUGGAAGCAUUGCCCUAACUUGCAAAGUUGAAGAUACCAGAGACACAACAUGGAGGAGGAGGGGUUCAAACCCAGGUGUGUCGCCUGUGUUCUCCCAUGGUAGAAAAUUGGAGGCAGCAUGGACGGAUUUCAAGGCAGAAGACCUGCGUUCCCUCCAUGGCUACCUUUCUCCCCCCAGGAACAUCAGAGUUCUAGGAAAGCAGUAUCCUUGACUGUCGUGUUCAUCACAGCACCCCUGCAACGUAGCACAGGACCCCGCAGGUGCUGUCACUGCUACCUGGGAAUCAGUGGACCGACAGGCAGCCAGGACGGGCAUCCGUGCCUUGCGAUGACUCAUCUACUGGGAUACCAGGGCUGCUGAGCGGAGCCUUGGAAUCCUUCCCUGGCACUCGAGGCUCCCACAUAUCUGGCUCCAGCUGACCUUUCUGGCUUUAUAAUCUAGUAAGAGAGACCCUUCCACAAAUAGUCCACACUGGCCUGCCACUGCUUAUGGGGCUCGGGAGUCCCUCCCAGCCUGCAUGUCUCAGCUCACGCGGACUCCCUGCUAGGAGCACCAGCCAGUUUCCCGGUCUCUGUGGUAAGCCCCAGCACAAAAUCUCACUUCUUCUGUGAAGCGCUUCUCUUAUUUGGCAUCUAGCAUUGCCUUUCACAAAAUCUUUUUAUAUGCAUUAUAUCUUUUUUUUCUAAUUCAAUUGGAAGUAUCUUGAGAGCAGAACUGGGUCUUCAAUGGUGAUACUCAGUUAAUAAAUCUUGGGAAAAAGGCUCUCCUUGAAACGAAGUUGGCUGGGUCCACAGAGGGUGGGGGAGUGUGUCCAGCUCCUCCCUGCUAGACUGGCCCCUACGGCCAACGAGGAGGAAGAGAAGAUCAUGCUCCAGGAGCCCCGCUGAUGAGGCAGUGAGGAAACCAACAAACCCGGCACCAUCACGUGUCGUCUAGGACAAUCCCAGGGUCACAUGUGUCACUGGAUUUUUGAAAAAACAUCACUUUCAAGAAUCUGGGCAUAAUUUACUUAUCAAUCAUAAAGAAUGAUACAAAAACUGCUUAGCUCAAAGGCAAUUGUAUGGUAUCCACUUCGGUGAACUAAUGUUAGUUCUGAUUCUUGUCUUCUUACACUCUCCUUUCACCUGACCCCCUAGGUAUUUUAUCCUUUUGGUUCUAUGAAUCUUCCUAAAUUGCUUCCAACUCUUUGGAAAACAGAGUGAGGUUCCAAUGAAGAUAACAGUUGGUCCAGUUUUCUUUAAAAUGCUACAAUGGUGCACAAAAAAGGAUUUACCAAAUAACAACUAAAGAUAAGUGACAAAAAUAAUGCAUGUAAAUCAUUGAGUACAGUGCGGGGCACUUAGUGAGCAUUCAAAAGGUCAGGUGAAAGAACACUCCGAAUUCUUAUUAGCUUCUCUUCUCUGGGCCUCAGCUUUUUCAUGUAUACAAUAAAAACUAAAAACAAUGCCUUAGGUUUGUUCAUUUGGUCAAUCAUUCAUUCUGAAAUCAUUCACUGAAUGUUUACUACCUGCAAGGCACAGUUUUCGGCACUAGAGAUAAAAUGAACAAACCAAAGUUCUUAUAAUCAUGGGGCAUAUAUUCUAGUGGAAGAGACAGCCAAAAAAAACCCAAAACACAAAAAAACAAGUGAACAAACAAAAAGAAACUUUCAGAUAGAGGUCAGUGCUAUGACAA
This is a long non-coding RNA of Rhinolophus ferrumequinum (greater horseshoe bat), 2386 nucleotides long. RefSeq lists it as uncharacterized. The record is from RefSeq and is a predicted model, not a curated record. The transcript is spliced from 4 exons. NCBI's taxonomy places the organism in Eukaryota, Metazoa, Chordata, Mammalia, Chiroptera, Rhinolophidae.